Molecule: ribosomal RNA, 586 nt
Filed under: uncultured bacterium
Lineage: Bacteria
Description: partial 16S ribosomal RNA
Rfam family: Bacterial small subunit ribosomal RNA
Source: RNAcentral
UGGGGAAUUUUGGACAAUGGGCGAAAGCCUGAUCCAGCAAUGCCGCGUGUGUGAAGAAGGCCUUCGGGUUGUAAAGCACUUUUGUCCGGAAAGAAAUCCUUGGCUCUAAUACAGUCGGGGGAUGACGGUACCGGAAGAAUAAGCACCGGCUAACUACGUGCCAGCAGCCGCGGUAAUACGUAGGGUGCAAGCGUUAAUCGGAAUUACUGGGCGUAAAGCGUGCGCAGGCGGUUUGCUAAGACCGAUGUGAAAUCCCCGGGCUCAACCUGGGAACUGCAUUGGUGACUGGCAGGCUAGAGUAUGGCAGAGGGGGGUAGAAUUCCACGUGCAGCAGUGAAAUGCGUAGAGAUGUGGAGGAAUACCGAUGGCGAAGGCAGCCCCCUGGGCCAAUACUGACGCUCAUGCACGAAAGCGUGGGGAGCAAACAGGAUUAGAUACCCUGGUAGUCCACGCCCUAAACGAUGUCAACUAGUUGUUGGGGAUUCAUUUCCUUAGUAACGUAGCUAACGCGUGAAGUUGACCGCCUGGGGAGUACGGUCGCAAGAUUCAAAACUUAAAUGAAUUGACGGGGUCAUAGCUGUUUCCU